Long non-coding RNA from Neogale vison (American mink), 209 nucleotides. RefSeq lists it as uncharacterized. The record is from RefSeq and is a predicted model, not a curated record. The transcript has 3 exons. NCBI's taxonomy places the organism in Eukaryota, Metazoa, Chordata, Mammalia, Carnivora, Mustelidae.
GUGUUGAGCAACAAAGAAGAUAGGAAAGGAUCUCUGAGACUGUCACUGUCCAGACAUGAACAAGUGCCCUCAGUGGUAUAGAAGAAAUGGAAAUGGAAACUCUGCUCACCUGGCAUUAAAUUUAAAUGUUUCUCAGCAUGUUUGGCAUUUGGAGCAAAAAGCAGAGUUGAAAAUGAGCACAGCUUCCCCACAGAGCAAGUGCUAUGAGC